GGAGGAAUAUUGGUCAAUGGGCGAGAGCCUGAAUUAGCCAAGUCGCGUGAGGGAAGACGGUCUUACGGAUUGUAAACCUCUUUUGCCGGGGAGCAAAGGGCGCCACGCGUGGCGUUUCGAGAGUACCCGGAGAAAAAGCAUCGGCUAACUCCGUGCCAGCAGCCGCGGUAAUACGGAGGAUGCGAGCGUUAUCCGGAUUUAUUGGGUUUAAAGGGUGCGUAGGCGGGCCGGUAAGUCAGCGGUAAAAUAGCGGGGCUCAACCCCGUCGAGCCGUUGAAACUGCCGGUCUUGAGUGGGCGAGAAGUGCGCGGAAUGCGUGGUGUAGCGGUGAAAUGCAUAGAUAUCACGAAGAACUCCGAUUGCGAAGGCAGCUUGCUAGACCGUAACUGACGCUGAUGCUCGAAAGUGCGGGUAUCAAACAGGAUUAGAUACC
Molecule: ribosomal RNA, 433 nt
Filed under: uncultured bacterium
Lineage: Bacteria
Description: bacterial SSU rRNA
Rfam family: Bacterial small subunit ribosomal RNA
Source: RNAcentral